UACGUAGGGAGCAAGCGUUGUCCGGAAUCAUUGGGCGUAAAGCGCGCGUAGGCGGCCUCAUAAGUCCGUUGUGAAAGUCAAAGGCUCAACCUUUGAAAGCCGAUGGAUACUGUGAGGCUAGAGUCCGGAAGAGGCGAGUGGAAUUCCUGGUGUAGCGGUGGAAUGCGCAGAUAUCAGGAGGAACACCAAUGGCGAAGGCAGCUCGCUGGGACGGUAUUGACGCUGAGACGCGAAAGCGUGGGGAGCAAACAGG
Molecule: ribosomal RNA, 253 nt
Filed under: uncultured bacterium
Lineage: Bacteria
Description: partial 16S ribosomal RNA
Rfam family: Bacterial small subunit ribosomal RNA
Source: RNAcentral